GAGAAAGGGGCUAAACACCCCGACCUCCAACCCUCUGUUGUUAUAACUAUACCGUUGCUUUGGCGGGACCGCGAAGGUCCUCACGGGCUCCAAGCCGCCGCGUCCCCUCACGGGUUCGAGGCGAGUUCCCGCCAGAGUUAAACCAAACUCUUGUUUUUAAACCGGUCGUCUGAGUAAAAAUUUUUGAAUUAAAUCAAAACUUUCAACAACGGAUCUCUUGGUUCUCGCAUCGAUGAAGAACGCAGCGAAAUGCGAUAAGUAAUGUGAAUUGCAGAAUUCAGUGAAUCAUCGAAUCUUUGAACGCACAUUGCGCCCCUUGGUAUUCCGAGGGGCAUGCCUGUUCGAGCGUCAUUACACCACUCAAGCAUCGCUUGGUAUUGGGCUACCGUCCCCCUCACGGGUGGGCGUGCCUCAAAGACCUCGGCGGAGCCUCACCGGCUUUGGGCGUAGUAGAAUUUCUAAUAACGUCUAUUAACGGAGAGGACUCUUCCCGACUGAAGCCUUUUAUAUUUUUCUAGGUUGACCUCGGAUCAGGUAGGGAUACCCGCUGAACUUAAGCAUAUCAAUAAGCGGAGGAAAAGAAACCAACAGGGAUUGCCCUAGUAACGGCGAGUGAAGCGGCAACAGCUCAAAUUUGAAAGCUGGCCUUCGGGUCCGCAUUGUAAUUUGUAGAGGAUGCUUUGGGGCAGCCGCCUGUCUAAGUUCCUUGGAACAGGACGUCAUAGAGGGUGAGAAUCCCGUAUGUGACAGGAAGUGGCACCCUAUGUAAAGCUCCUUCGACGAGUCGAGUUGUUUGGGAAUGCAGCUCUAAAUGGGAGGUAAAUUUCUUCUAAAGCUAAAUACCGGCGAGAGACCGAUAGCGCACAAGUAGAGUGAUCGAAAGAUGAAAAGCACUUUGGAAAGAGAGUUAAAAAGCACGUGAAAUUGUUGAAAGGGAAGCGCUUGCAAUCAGACUUGUCUGGGUCGUUCGGCCGGUCUUCUGACCGGUUUACUCGGCCCGUGACAGGCCAGCAUCAGUUUCGGCGGUCGGAUAAAGGCCCUGGGAAUGUGGCUCUGCCUUCGGGGAGAGUGUUAUAGCCCAGGGUGUAAUACGGCCAGCCGGGACUGAGGUCCGCGC
This 1117-nucleotide ribosomal RNA is filed under the name fungal endophyte. RNAcentral's name for it is "eukaryotic LSU rRNA". The stretch from base 521 to 1117 matches the Rfam family "Eukaryotic large subunit ribosomal RNA", at positions 1 to 605 of the family's 3401-position model. The record is from RNAcentral. Lineage: Eukaryota; Fungi.